Molecule: long non-coding RNA, 605 nt
Organism: Galeopterus variegatus (Sunda flying lemur)
Lineage: Eukaryota; Metazoa; Chordata; Mammalia; Dermoptera; Cynocephalidae
Exons: 4
Source: RefSeq, a predicted model, not a curated record
GGUAACUUACAAGAUUAAAAUUAAUUUGGUUGCUGAUGGUUCUGAACAAAUACAGUUUUUUUAUUUGAGGUAUACCAUUUUGAAGACUGCAACAUUGGAAUUUUAUCAUUGAAGAUAAAGGAAAUCUUUGGGGAAGUCUGUAUUUUAUAUAGCAAAAAUGUGUGAAUCCCCAGACUGAAUACUCUAAAGGGCCUGUACAAAGUAGUAGACACUGGUGGAAGCAUUUACACCCAGUCAGCUUGAAGAGUCUCAAAUGGACCGUACCACUGAGAAAUCAAGAUGGCAGUCCACUAUGGGGAAUUGAGGAGAAUGGAUUAAUACAAGAGUGCUGUGAUAAUAUGCAACCAAGACAGGGUUCUUUUAACAUGGAUUCCAUGAAAUGAAUGAAGACAUAGGUUUCUUACCCAACAUAAAUGGACAGUGGAUUUGACUUUCCAAAGACUUUUUGUAUCAUUAAAACAAGUACAUUUUUGACAUUUGAAGAAGAAGGAUGGCACAUUAACACAGAUGAUAGUUUGUAUGCCUGGAAUUUUUUGCCAUUUGAUUUGUAUGAUUAUUACCUCGUGGAAUGUUAAUUUUAAUAAAAUUUCUCUAACACUUUAAAA